AAAAAUAAAAAUAAAAUAGUUUAAGUUAAGAGAAUCAACUAGGAUAACUGAUCGUUCCUAGAGUAAAUGGCAAAGAGCUUGAUAGUUGGUAUUUGAGACCCAAGUUCGAAUUCUAGUUAAUUUUUAUUUUCAGCCAAGUUUAUUUCUAAAUGAAAUAAACGGAGUGGGUAGCGUGCUACCUAUUUCUCAAAAAAAAAAAAAAGUUAAGAGGAUUAAAUAUGCAAUAUUUUUAUUU
RNAcentral lists this long non-coding RNA (235 nucleotides) under Ananas comosus (pineapple). RNAcentral's name for it is "long non-coding RNA (ACOM_LNC023104)". Lineage: Eukaryota; Viridiplantae; Streptophyta; Magnoliopsida; Poales; Bromeliaceae. The record is from RNAcentral.